Molecule: ribosomal RNA, 506 nt
Filed under: uncultured bacterium
Lineage: Bacteria
Description: partial 16S ribosomal RNA
Rfam family: Bacterial small subunit ribosomal RNA
Source: RNAcentral
AUUGAACGCUGGCGGCAUGCUUUACACAUACAAGUCGAACGGCAGCAUGACCAAGCUUGCUUGGUUGAUGGCGAGUGGCGAACGGGUGAGUAACACAUCGGAACGUGCCCUGUAGUGGGGGAUAACCUACCGAAAGGUAGGCUAAUACCGCAUACGACCUGAGGGGAAAAGUGGGGGACCGCAAGGCCUCACGCUAUAGGAGCGGCCGAUGGAAGAUUAGAUAGUUGGUGAGGUACAGUCACACCAAGGCGACGGCCUUUAGCGGGUCUGAGAGGACGAGCCGCCACACGGGGACUGAGACAGGGCCCAGACUCCUACGGGAGGCAGCGGUGGGGAAUUUUGGACAAUGGGGGCAACCCUGAUCCAGGAAAGCAGCGUGAGUGAAGAAGGCGUUCGGGUGGUAAAGCUCUUUUGUUUGGGAAGAAAAAUCUGAUGUUAAUACCACUGGAUGCUGACGGUACCAAAAGAAUAAGCACCGGCUAACUACGUGCCAGCCGCCGCCGUAA